GACAGAGGCGAUAUCUCGCUGAACACACCAGUUCCCGGUGGAUCACUGAAGUUAAGCGACGUUGGGUUUGGUAUUCGAAUGGAUGACCAUCUGAGCAAUCGCGUGCUGCCGGCU
RNAcentral lists this ribosomal RNA (114 nucleotides) under Diaphorina citri (Asian citrus psyllid). The record is from RNAcentral. Lineage: Eukaryota; Metazoa; Arthropoda; Insecta; Hemiptera; Psyllidae.